UAAUUUUAUGGUUGCAGUCACCAUCUGCAGUGAUUUUGGAGCCCAAGAAAGGAAAAUCUGUCACUACAUACAUCCUUUCUUCUUAAGAUUUCCUCCCCAUUUAGGUGGGAAAGGGUACUUUCCUGUGCUCCACAGUAGGUCACCUGCGGAUUACUCUUGCAGAUAAAAUUUGUCACCGCUUAUUUUGGUUCAUAAACAAAUAUUCUUUUUAAAGUUAUCAUCUAACAUUUUCUGUGUGUCCAUCAUAAAGCCAUCUUGUCAUGAUAUUUGCUCUCAGUUUUCAAAGCCCAUGGAGAUGAGCAGGUUGUAAAGUGGGAGUUUUUUCUGCAGAUGCUGUACAGUGCUACCAGGUGGUGGUGAACAGUGCUGCGUAUUCCUGAAGUCGAAGGCGGCAGGAGCAGAAGAAGGUGUCUUUCCUGAAUUACAUGGUGGAGUCUUUACUGGCUGAGCCAUCAGGGAAGCCCCAGCACAGGGACUGUGAUUCAGUGAGAUUCUGUGGUUUUGCCAAGUGGUUUUCAAUAGGAUGUGAGGCUUGCAGAGACCCUUCCUCACCUUCAAACCUAAUCAACAGUGGAAACAUGUCAAUAUUUCCCUUUGGAACAUAAUUUGUCAAAUUUUCAUUUCUUUUCAAUCCAAGAACCUAUCUCUUGAAGUCAAAAUGUUUUCUCUGGGAUUUUAUGAUUCAUCUUUUAACCUAAACUCCUGCUGAGAAUUCUUUCUCUGCUAAGCCACUAAAUUCCUGUUGGUAACAGAUUUAUGUGCUCUUUAUCCAGAUGUUUCCACAGUUUAAAAAAUAUUCUCGAGUGAAUUGUUCUCUUUUUAAUAAAGUUGGUGGUUUUUGUCACAUUGUCUAGACUUUUAAAAUUUUUUGUUUAACAGGCUUUGACAUCAGCACCUCUCUAUGAAGAAAAACAGUAUGUUGUGAACAAAGUCAGAAUUUUCUUUGCUCAUUAGAGGCAAAGCC
Molecule: long non-coding RNA, 964 nt
Filed under: Capra hircus (goat)
Lineage: Eukaryota; Metazoa; Chordata; Mammalia; Artiodactyla; Bovidae
Description: lncRNA (ENSCHIG00010007835.1)
Source: RNAcentral